GAAUAAAAAAGUAUGCGUUAGAUAAUGAUAUGUGAUGUAAUAGAUGGAAGGCUAUUGGUGAAUGGGAUAACAUGUGGUCCAUGAUCCCAUAUUCUCUCACUACCACCGUUUCAUGCCGAUAGGAAAAAUGAGUUUACUUUAUUAAACAGGUAUUAUAUAUACCUAAUUCGUAUAAACGAAUCUUAAGUAACAUGUGGCACGAGGAGACUAAUAUUUAUUUUACAUUAUAGCAAUUAUGGUUAAAAUGUUUUUUUUACAAUCGGUUUGACGUUUUUACUAUGGUACUUUAAUUUAUAUGAGUUUAUUAUUUAAAAUAAUUUAAUACUCCAUUGCAACACACUUCUAAAUGUCUUUCAUAUAUAUUUAAAAUAUUAAUAUAUAUUCCUAUAAGAAACUUUUUCACAAUUAUGCACAUGUUUUAGCUUUUUGACAGAAAUAAAGAUAUCUCACUUUCGUUUUAACAUUUUUUAUAAGAGCCAUUUGCACAGAAAAUAUCAAAUAAGUUGAUAAUUUGCAUAGAUGGAAAAACAGACAAAAGUGGAGAGAGAAAGAAGUUAAAAUGACAUUUUAGUCCUUUCUCUUUCUUACAUCUAUUUUUAUGGUUUAGGUAAUUAUAUAUUGUUUCUCUUUCUUAAGUUUGAUAUUUCUCACGUUUAUUACAAAAGAAAAUCAAUAGCUUCUAGCCGAAAACUCUCAAACUCAUUUUUCGAGGGUCGUCGACUGAUAUACUACUCAACGCCGACGUCGAUCUCGUUCCUCCUCUUUCAUUCUUCUCUUUAACAUAUGAUUCUUCAUGGCUACUUUCUUUGUGUUGGCUGGUUCAUUCCUUACGGUGUCGUCAUCUUUAUUGGUUGUACAUCACCGGACAUUCCUCGUCACACUAUAAAAAUGGUAGAUUUGGUUCGGAUUGUUUUACAGAGUUGACUAGGUGAGUUUGUUUUGAGUUAACUCAACAUAACGAACCGGCUCAUUAUAUAAUUUGAAGUUGCAGAUAAAAUUUUACUUGUUCUAAUAGCUGACACACAAAUAGCUGAAAUUUAUUAGCCGGAUAAACCUUUUCAUGUUCAGCUAAGAAAAAUAUAAAACCACAUGUACGAAAAUGUUAUAGGUGUGCACUUAAAAUUAUUGUUCGGAUAAAUUUUUUCAUGUUCAGCUAAAAAUAAUAAUAAUAGAUGUUUGGAUUGUGUCUGAAUAAUUGGAUGUAAAAAAUUCACAUAUUCGGCUAAGUAUAAUAUUAGCUUCCUAAUAAUUCACAACAAGAUAUAAUUUAAAAAAUUGUUAGCCGGAUAAAAAUUGCUUUGUAGAACUAAUUAUUUUAUUAGCUCUCAUUUGAAACUGGUAGAAAUUUAAAGAACACUGUUAUAUGUUAAUAGAUAUGCUAACAUGCCAACAAUGUCAUAAAACAUGCUAACAAUACCACAAUAUUAUUCGAAGAUACAUAAACAGAUAAAUGGUUAUAUGCUAUUAAAAUUGUUAGCAGUCUAACAUUGAAGGGUAUUAAAUAUGUUAACAGUCUAGCAGUUAGUUAUAGAUAUGUUGAUAGCAUUUGCUCGUAAAGAAUCACAAAGAACAUCGCGUCCGACACAACUCCUAUGCACUGUCCAAGAAGUCCACAUACGCUGCUCCUCUGAUUCCAGUAUACACGUAAUUUGCCAAGGUGCUUUUGUGGAGGUUGUUGACUAGGCAGUUCAUUGAUGGUUCCAAAGAUUGAUAUCCAGAAGCCAUUAUGUGCUCAUCAAACAAAACAAUAGCAUCAACUAGUGACCUGAUCUAGUCAUCAAACAAAGCAAUAGCAUCACUUAAAGGUUAUCUUGUUGCUCAAAGAUCAUGGCGGAUCGGAUAAGUAUACAAAUAUACGGCUAAGUAUAUAAGGCUACGGAUAAGUAUACAAAGAUACGGAUAAGUAUAUAAAGCUACAGAUAAGUAUACAAAGAUAUGGCUAAGUAUACAAAGAAUAUGUCUAGGUAUAUAAAGAUACAGCUAAGUAUAUAAAGAUCCGAUGCAAUAAGGGAUAAAUAGCCGGUUAUUUAACAGGUACGACACACACAAAAAAAACAGACAACAACAUUUAUGGCCAUCUUGCAAACAUUACUAGCAUGAGUACUGUCAGUAGAUCAACUCUGGAUUAAAGAUGUCCUAAAUAAACAUGGCUAUCGUCUUAACUGACCAGAGUAUGGUGUCUGAUCAGAAAGCUCUAAGAACUUACUGAUAGAUGAUCUCUUUAUAACAUUGAUUUCGUCUGCAUCCAGAAAAACGCAAAUAAUCAAACAACUAUAGGUCCAAAAAUCAAACAAAAGAAGAACUGGAUCUAUCAAAACAGAGAAACACAAUGAAAAAAAUCAGAAAGACACAACACCAAGGGUAAAAAUCCAUCGGACACUGGCCCUAAAACCCAGAUGUGUGUUGCUUUGAUUCUCGCAUACUCUAAUCAAACCUUAAACAAGACAAUAUGACAUUAACAACUAGGGACAUGCUUUACUUCCGAUGAUAUCAAACCCAGAAAAUUCAGACAUAAGCUUAGCAAAUCAAAUACUCAAACCGAAGUUAAAAAAACCCCACAAAUAGAAAACCCAUAAUGAAAUCGUGGAUCCAGUCAAAGAAACCAAAUCAAGAAUCAUAUAAGAGAAGAGGAUGAUAUACCCUGAAGACGAAGGCGUUGAGCAGCGUCAUGGGAUUCAUAUUGCAUACAAGGAGGAUUGCGUGAAUCUCAUCCUCACUAUAGUUCCCAGCAGUGAUCUCUUCGUCUUCUUGGUAUCCGCCGUAAUCGAAACCCUAGUACCACUCCCCACCAUCCUCUAUUUUUCAAACGAAUAUAGCUUCUGGUAAAUGAAUCUGGGACCAAAUCGAAAAGGUUUGAGCAGUCCUGUAUAUGUAUUUAUACGAAUACGCAGGAGAGUGGAGGAUGGGAUUUGAAACUAGAUUGGUGUUUCGAGGAGGAAGGAGUAGAAGAAGAAAGAAAAGGGGGCGAGAAAGGAGAGAGGAGAGAGAUAUAGGGAUUUUGGAAAACAUACAAAAUAAGUUGUGUAGAAAAAGGUAGGGACAAAACUGCCAUUAAAAAAAAACACAUCAUCAAAAAAAGCAUAAUUCCAUCGGUGCAAAUAUAGCAGUUAUCGGUGUAUAGGAGUGCUAAUUUCUCUUUUUAUAAUGUGUGGAGACAAAGUCAGGGCUAUUCAGACAACAAUAUCUUACCACAUAUUUUCUACUCGUGAAAGAGUCGGAGUUAUGUUCUCUGUCAUCGGGAGUUAAUGAAUUUAGACAGUCUUUGAACAUAUUGUUAGGUCAAACGCAGAGUUACCUCUUUCAUGUUUUUCACCCUCCACGCGUUUUAAAAUACAGUAUAUUUUUUCCAGCGUAAAUUGAUACUGGAAAACGAUACUUACUAUUUGCCAAGUCAUAUAUAUUCCAAGAAAAUAACAUUGUUUCAUCAUUAUCAAGUCAAAUGAUAUAUAUAUAUAUCUUUUAACAAAAUAAUGAAUCUAUACUUAUAAAUAAAAGAAUCUAUAUCAAAAUACUUCAUUGGAAAGAUAUACAUAACCGAACAGAAAAAUUGGUGAAUAUUUUGUGAUUUACCAACCUUUUACUAUCAAAUAAACGGUGGUAUUUAUCACAAAGAUGUGGUUUCUUUGAAUUUUGAUACAACCCUUUUUGAAAAGGAAGAUAUUUUAAAAUGGAAUAAACUAAAGACUAACUCAAAAUUAGGGUUUUACCCGAACUUCAAGAUAAUAGUUUUUUUCAUUUGAUCAGCUUUAUAAGAUCAUAUAUGCAUUAUACAAGAAAAAUAUUGUUUCAUCAUAUUCCAAAUAAAGAUAUAUGUAUUAAAUUUGCCAAAAAAAGUUUCAUGAUGCACUUAGAAACUUCUCCAGGAAUUAAAAAACUUAUAUGGCGCAAUUUGAGUAAUUGUUUAUUUUUUGGUCUUGAACAAAAAUGUGAAAUUGGCCUAGAAGUUCAUCGCCAUAAUAUAUUUGCUAACCUGGUAAUAGGUACCAAAAUGGCAAAACAUGAAUAAUAAAUUAUUACGUAAUAACACACACUAUCGUUACAAAAAAUGCAGGACCCUGGAGAUUAAUACCCGUGACAGUCCGCACUCGUGGUCUACAAAACCACCAUAAGGGAUUUCUUAUCAUUUUCUUGGGAGUAUAUGUUUUGUAGAUCCAUCUUUGGACUUUGCUUUAUGGGUGGCUUGUAUAUAUAGUAUUAUUUUCAAUAAAAUUCGCGGCAUAUUCCAUUUUUGCAUUUGUUCUCAACUCUCAGCAUUUAGCACCAGUAAAAACUAUUCGGUAUCUCAGAAGAGAAUUAAACGAGCGAAAUAAUUGAAUUGUUUAACGGACGCUUUAUACAUUAACACGUCACGAGCAGAAUAAGUUCAUUAUAUUUUGAGUACAUAACACGCGUCGAGCGAAAUAACUUAACGUACAAUUGGUAAUUACAUUUAAGAUUAAUUUAUUUUAGGGGCCCUUUAUUUUAAUAAUUUAAUUGGUGUAUUUUAUGGUAUCUAUUGAGUUGGCAAAAGAAAAUAUUGAGUAUAUAUUCCAGAUCAUGAGUUCGAUGACGAAGGUGGCCAGAAAAGAUUAACAUAUUUUUUGAUCUCCGAAUUGAGAAAAAUAUGAACUUAACCUUAUAACAUUUUUUACUUUAGUUAAAAUAUAAAACAAUAGUGAAUAGUCUGUGAUAUUAAACUAUAUAGGGUGCAAUAUUGCUCUAGUUUAGAUAGUUAAGUUACAUUUUUGCUUAAAUAUUAAACUACAGGCCUGUGAUACAUUAAACUAUAUACGAUGUAUUUCUAUAGUUCAGAUAAUUAGACGUAAUUAAUCUCCGCAAUUGAUAUAUCACAUCAACCUCUGAUAUUUUUGUUUGUUUGUUUUGUCUGUUGAGUUGCUUUUUUGGCCUUGUUUUGUCUGUUCAUUGGCUGUCGUUAAGAAAAUACUUAAAAACAAAAAAAGUUAAACGCGAAUAACUAUUCUAAUACAAGCGAAGAACUGAUUCCCAAAAAGUAAUUAGCUCCCAGUUUGACCAGAAUUCAUUCACAAAAGUCAAGAUCUUUUAUAGGAUUGUCGUUGCCGUUUAUAGGUUAUGAGAUUUGACCACUAUGAACUGCAAUGGUACUGUUCAAUCCAAUCCCAUACCACGCAAAUGUCUCUCUUUCCAUACAUCUGUCCCAUUGCAUGUAGGAGGGAGAGAGAGAAGAAAGAGACAGAAAAAACAAAUACAGAGAUAAGACUCUUGAUAGAGAGUGAGCGACAUGGAGAGAUAAGGUUUUUUGUUUCCUUCUUUAACAUAGAUUCUUUCUCUCUUCACAUUUCCUCUUAAUCUAAUCUUUAUUUCCUUUGUUCUUUCCUGUUUGGUAAUUUAUUUUCCUCUCCGCACGAUUUGGUCAAAACCCUAGAUUUGUGGGUAUCUAAAAAUGAAUAAAACUUUCCUCUCUUCCUUUGGUUAUAAAUAUUCUCUCUGGCUUUCUUGCUUACCCUAAGCCCUCUCAGAUCUGACUCUACAGCCUCAGGGUCUCCUUCUUUCAAACGCCUUCGGUCUCUGAUUACACAAUUUGUGUCGGUAGGCCAUAUUGAGUGAGUGUUUUGGGACAAGUUUUAGAAAAACGCAAAGAAACUGACAGAAGAGAGUGAGCACACAAAGGCACUUUGCAUGUUCGAUGCAUUUGCUUCUCUUGCGUGCUCACUGCUCUAUCUGUCAGGUUCCGGCACCGAUUCUUUUUGGUCCGUUCACGUUUUCUUCUUUGAUUGUGUUCCCAUCUCUCUCACUUUUGUGUUCCCAUCUCUCUCACCCACUUUCUCUCUCCAUAGGUAAAUUAUAUACGGUAUUAUAUCUAUACUAAUUUGCUCUUACAUUCCUAGAUUUGUUACUAAUUGCAUGCGAUUUUGCUUUUUGUUUAUUCUUGUUGAACGUUAUAUUCUAUGAGAUCAUUAAUAUCGAAAAUGCUUUAAUCUAUGUGUUUAAGGCUUGGUUAAGCGAGAUUAACAUGGGACCAUUAACGUUAACCUAGUUUUCCUUAGGCUGGUCCUAACGCUUUUGAAUCCUUAAUUUUCUCGAUUCAAGCUAUAUUAUUAUAUGGUUAGCUUUUCCUUCUGUUUUAUCGGUUUCUCAUUAGCUUUUAUAACCCGUGAUCUAGUCUCUUGAUUCAUAAUUAUGUUUAGAGCUAUCCUUUGCUUCAUUUGAUCACAUCUAUUUUCAAUCAUGGAUCUUGCAAGAGUACUGUUCAUGAUCCAGUUUAUUGGUUUUCUAGCUUAUUUAUUUUGUGUGCUCGUACAUUUUGAUUCCCUGAAAUAUGUAAUCAUGUAUCUAAGUUAAACUAUUAUGUUAUCAAUAGUUGAAUUGUGGUAUAGAUGGUAUCCAAUUUAUAUAUAACUGAUUCCAUGUGAUCACGCUGUGAAUUUUGCGAGAAUGUUUUUGUGGGUUUGGUUCUUGAUAUAUAUAGGAACAUGUUUUUGUUUUUCGCAUUUAAUCCUGUAAACAACCAUAUAGACACAUUAAUUUGUGUGUGUUUUCGAAACUCUUCAUGUAAUUUUGGGGUCCAGAUGCGGUUUGUAUAUGCAUUUGCUGAGAAGAACCAAUUCAAUAUAAUGGUUAAGAAAUUUACAGUACUUGCAUUGCUUUAUGAAUGCUUCAUGUAUGCGUUUGCAUUACUAAAUUUUGAAGAACAAUUCAGUAUAGUGGUUAAAAACUACAGUACGGAGUUGCUUUGUGAAUCCUUACUGUGUGCGUUUCCAUUACUAAAUAUUGAAGAAGAUUAAAAUGUGAUUUUUUGGUCACCCAGAUCAAAUUCUUAUUUAUUUAAGCCAAAACACUAUUCCCUGGUUGCAAAUUUAUUGAUAGUCUCUUAUCGAUGACAGAGAUAGAACAAUUUAAACUUGGGAUUUGUUUGUGAGUGAUGAGGUUAUGAAUAGGACUUCUUCUUAUCGGUGUUACCCAAGGUCCUGGAGCUUCUCACCAAAAGCUCUUGCUGGGUAACAGUCGACGACUAUCAAUUGUUCUUGCGAACAAUCGCCUUAGGGAUUAAGGUGAAAUUUCUCCAUGGGGUUCUUCAUCUUGCUGAGCUUGACUCGCCUCUUAUAGGCUUUAUCUCGAGGUUUCUUAGUGCGUUUUACUUUUGUUGUACCGUCGAAUCUUCUGUUUUGGUUGAUUCGGUUUUGGUUGUAAACUUUCAUGCUCCUUGAAAGAUGGUGCUUUCUGAUACGUGUGAAAUGUAUGAUAUUUAUUCUCAAGUGGCAUGUUUCUUAUAAGGAUCGAUAUAAUAUAAGGUUGUGCUAGAUGGAAAUUGUCACAUGAUGGUAAUUAUGUCAUUUGAAAUGGCAUAUUGUUUUACGUUUUGCCUUACAUUAAUGUUACAAGUUAUGACCAAAACUUUUGUUUGCAUUCAUAUGAGGUGCCCUUUUGCGUGAACUAGGAAGACAUAAUCAAAGAGCAUCAAAUAACGCCCUUGUGUGAACAAGUUACUUUGUUUGGUUUUCAUGUUGUAGUAAGUAAUCUUGUCUUUUGAUCAGAUGGAUAUGUUAUGUUACGAGACUGUGCUAUCGAUCGACCUUCUGAUGUAUUUCUGUUCAUCCUGUUUCAGGUUUGGAUUGUCUAUGCCAGAGAUGAACGCACUGUUUAUGGUAACCUAUUAACUUGUAAUCUUUUGGGAUGUUGAUUUACGGUUUUUGUGUCAUGUUUUAUCAAUUGAUUGCCGCAGGCUUCACAUAUGUAUAUAUGAUUGUUCUAGUCUAGAGUCAGGAUAUUAAACAAUGUUUGACUCAUUAUAAGGUGAGUAGGAUGUGGAUAUAGAAUUGUUUUUGUGCACAUCCAGUAUCGGAAUACGUACACUAAUAAUUUAAUUGGUUACUAGAUUUUGACCCGCCCUUCAGAGGGCGGUUAUAUUUUUUGUUUGUAUUUUCUUUGUUAGAAAUGAAAUAUUCAUAUUUGUGUCUUUUGUAAUCAUAUUUGUAGUUUUUUUUUGUAAUCAUAUUUGUGUAUAAUAUUUUUUUAAAAAUUUAGUAAGAACUUUUGUUAAUCUAUACUAUUAUUUGCGAAGUAAAUUUUUAGAAUCGAGCUCUCACGUUAAAAGUUAGAGUGGUUAAUAUCGUUUAUACCCUUAAUGAAUAAAAUAUAUAAAUAAACUAAAAAAUUUAAACGAAAUUUCAAUUUAUUUGAUUAGAUAAUUGAUUAAAAUUAAUAAUAGUAAGAAUUAUCCAAAAUCUGAAAUAUAAUUUAAACAGAGAUAAUUUAUGUAUAUAUUGUAUUGUUAUCUGAAAAAGUCUUAUAGUAAAAAGUUAAAAACAUAAAUUAUAUAACUAAAUAUUAAUCAAAUAAAAUUCUUAAUUAUAUAAUUAAAAAUAGAAUAUUGAAUUAUCCAUAAUCUAAAAAGAUAAUUAAAAAAAAUUAUAUCUAUAUAUAUAUUGUAUUGUUAUCUGAAAAAGUAUUUUAGUAAAAAGUUAAAAACAUAAAUUAUAUAAUUAAAUAUUUAUCAAAUAAAUUUUUUUAAUUAUAUAAUUAAAAAUAUAAUUUUGAGUUAUUUUAAAAUUUAUUUUAGUAUAAUGAAGAUAGUGUACAAAGAACUUUUCAAAAAUUUAUGAAAAUGUUUAAGCCCGCAUCGCGGGCAAAACACCUAGUUCUAUUAAAUUUGUGAGGUUGCCAAAGUAUACACUUGUUCCAUAGUCAUUUCAUGCAUUAAUUUUGAUUUUUUAUCUAAACAGUUAUAAAUUUGUUAUUUUUAAAAAAAAAUAAUAAAGCAUAGUUACAAAUUUGUUUAGUAAUUAAAUAGUGUAAUUAAAUAUUUGUAAAAAUAGUUUUCCAUUAAAUUUUCAUCAUUUGAUUUUAUAUAUAAUGAUUUAUAAAAUGUUAUUAUUACACAUAAUAAUUUAUGAUGCAAAUAAAAAUAGGUUUAUAAUGUUUGAUCCAAUGUAAAUGAAAAGCCCACUUUAAUUGUUAACAACCAAUUCUAGUUAAGCUAAAAAAUCGGGAAGCUCAAUUGGUAAACAAAACCUAGAUUCUGUUUUGCCAUUCAUAAUCCAUCUCCUUAAAAGUAGGACUUGGUUAUGGAACAGUUUUGUUUCUUAGAUGUCGUAUAAAUAAAAGUUAUAUAAGCAGUUACAUAUUGAUGCUGUAUUUUUUUAAAAUGAACUCAACUAAUAUCAAUGGGGCAUGUUCCUGUUUUAAUAGUAUUGAUAUGUCGUUGCGACUGAAUUUUGCCUGAAUCCUGAAUCCUGAAAUUGUCCAAGUUCAAUGUUAUCAAGUCAUCAUCUUAAGAAACUGAAGUAUUACCUGGUAAUUGGCUCUUCUUGAUAAGCUAGCCACUUAAAAUCAUUUCUUGUGAAGAGCAUUUCCUUCUUUUCUAAAACUUAUUUUGUUGUAUAAUAUAGGCACAAAGAAACUAGAUGUGAUAAAGAAAAUCGAAUUAAAUAUUCCAGUCAGCCGUUUCAAAAUAUUCAAAAGAUUAUAUUCUUCUUGAAGCAAUAUAAAGUCAAUAUUUAUCAACCAAGUUGAUAAUAAUGAAAUAAAAGAAAUCAAAACAUGUAAAUUACAUAUUUAAUUGCCGCUAACUUAACCAAAGAAAGUUUCCCUCUGAUUACUUAACCAUUAUCUUAAAUUGUGUUGUUGUAUAUAGUCUUUAAACCUUCGAUUACGUUGAGUAGAAAACAUGGAGGAGUCGAGCGAGAGGGUUGUUCGGUUAGAGCAACACGAUGAGAUCACGACGGGCGAUGACUUGGUUAUCCAUCCCAUCCCACAGGACCUAGCACUAGCAGUAUCGGCGAUAUAUGAUCGCAUGAUGGUAGAUGUGGAGGAGUUAUUGUUUAACCAAAUCAGAGACACCUUCCUCUCGUAUACCAGUACCCCAUCAUACUUAGGCUUCGUCGGUCUCCCCGACGAAGAAUGUCAACAACCACGGCCAGCUCUUCGUAAUGCUAGAAGGAGACGCCCUCCUCCGGCCCGCGUAUCUCGACGGUCCUCGCAGGUGUCUCCACCCGUUUAUCUCCGCCAUAGGUUUCUGCCACAGUCACGUAAAGACUCAUCUUCUAGACGCCAACGUUAAUCUUCUAAUCAUUAUAUGAGAUGAUGUUCUUUGUGUCAUUGUGUGUUGUGUCUACAUAUCAUUAUAAUAAUCGGAUGUCUCCGAAAAGUUUAUUUGAAAUUCGGGUCUACCAUCAUAAACCGGGAAAUUUAUGUACCACCUCCAGGUUAUUGAAACACUAUCAAUCAACUUAUGAACAGUUUAUUUAUGCCUCAAGUAACUUCUUGGUGUCCUGUAGCAUCUCAAAACCAAAACGUUGAUAGUAUCAAAUAUUAACCAUAAUCUUAUCUACUUAGGAUUGCUAUGGCUUGAUAGAUUCUCCAUAUACACACUUUCUCUUGGAACUAUUUUUUAAUUCUUAGAUGAGUAAGUAUAUAUGGUCUAAUAAAAAAAAAAGUAUCAUGUAAACACAAACAAAAUAAUAUUCUUUAUGUUUCAAAAUGUUACACGUUUUAAAAAUUUCAUUCAUAUAAAAUAUAUAUUUUGAUUAUAAAUGUAUCAUUUUGUGAUUAACUAUUUCCAUAAUUUUUAGCACAAUAUAAUAAUCAUAAUUUUUUUUUAAAUUACAAUUUUAGUUAAUAAAAGUAUAUUUAAAAUCUAAUAUAAUUUAUCUUUUUGAAACAAUUUUUUUCUCUAGCAGAUAAUAUUUUUGAAACAGGAGUAUGACAUUUACACAACCUUAUGUUUUGUACACUUUACAUGACAAACUGUUCUGCAGAUGCUCCACUUAGUGCAGAGAGCUCUAACUGUAUUAGCCGUGUAAAAAUUGUCAACCUCUGUUCGGUAGCUGUUCAUAUGUUCCUGUGUUGGGACUAAAACCACCAGUCACCAUCGUCUGGUACACAGCGUAAGCGUGCUCAGGUUUCCCACACAAACUAUAUCCACGGAUCAAAGCGUUAAACGUAAACACAUUAGGCUCAAGACCCACCCUCUGUAUCUCACUAUAAACCUUCCCAGCUUCUUCCACCAUCCCCGCGAUACCAAGAUUCAGAAUCAAAGAGUUGUAAGUGUACAGAUCAGGAGUGAUCCCCCUGCUGUUCUUCAUCUCAUUGUAAAGCUCAAGAGCUUCUUCAAGCCUCCGAGACUUCCCUAGUCCGUUGAUUAUGAGAUUGUAACACACCACAUCAGGGUCUAGCCCUGACUCCGUCACCUCCUUGAAGUAACGCAAGGCUUCGUCCACUCUUCCUACCAUACAAAGACAAUCAACUAGAACCGAGUAAGUCUUGAGAUCAGGUCUCACUCCUUCUCUAACCAUCCUUUUGAAUAACUUGCAAGCCGCGUCAGCCUCGCCAGCUUUGCCAAACCCGUUGAUGAGGAUGUUGUAGAUAGCACAGUUUGGGCUGCAUCCAUAGUCCAACAUUCCUUCAAAGAGUUGUUUCGCUUCAUACAAUCUCCCCGACUUUGAAAGACCAUCGAUGAGAGGACCAUACGUGCAAACACUCGGAGAGAAGUCUCCAUCACUGAUAAGGUCAUAGUAUAAAUCAAGAGCCUCGUCUACAUUCCCAGCUUUCACUAGCCCGGAGAUGACAAUGUUGUGAGUGAUUGUGUUCGGUACACACUCAUGUGAAGACAUCUCUUUAUACAUCUCAAAGAGUUCUUCCAAUUUUCCUGACUUUCCGUAAGCAUCAAGCAAGAAGUUGUAGGUAGCAACAUCAGGGAUGCAGCAACCACUACUCUUCAUCUCUAGGAACAGUUCCUCCGCUGCUUCAAUCAUAUCAGCUUCAAGAAGGCCACUGAUCAACAGAUUAUAAACCGGAAGUUUCGGUUUAACACCAAGAUCUUUAGUGAAUCUAUCAAAUAACAUUCUAGCAACUGAGGGAUUAUCACCAUGUUUCAAACAGUAUCUCACCAUCGGCAACAGGAUUGAUUCACCAUCUCUACAAACUCCAUUAACAACCAACCUCUCAGAAAACAAAACUGCGUUCUCUACUCCACCUUCAGCCAAUACAGAUCCCAUCAAGUCCUCCCAGAAGAGACUAGCCGGCUGAUCUUCAGAGCUGUGAAGAAAGCUGGUGAUGAUCUUGUAAGCGUCUUCGAUUAAACCCACCUUGACAACACCUGGGAGAAGAGUGCAUAGUGUAACAAAGUCAGGCCCCACAAGCUUCUUCAUCUGGUGGAAGAAACACAUCGCAUCUUUAACUCGACCCUUCUUCAUCAAACCGUAUAUAAUAGUAUUGUAAGUACAAACAUCAGGGACGCAACUCAUCUUGAAGAACAUCUUCAACGCCACCAUCACCUCGUCGUUUUUGCAAAGACAGUCCAAGAGAGUGUUGAACGUCACCGUAUUAGGCGGACAUCCUUUCUCCUCCAUCACUUCAAACAACUCAAUCGCCUCUCGGAUCUUUCCGUUCUUCCCCAAACCCGAGAGGAGAGUGUUGUAAGUCACAACGGUAGGCUUGAGCUUCAUCUCCUCCAUCCUAGUGAACAUCUCCCACGCCUCGUCCACUCUAUCACCUUUGUAAAGAGUAUUGAUUAAAGAGUUGACAACGAUCACAUCAGGCUCACACUCGUUUUCCAGCAUCUCGGACAUCAGCUUAAUAGCUUCGUCUACUUCCCCAACCUUGCUAUAGCACUUCAUCAUCAUGUUGUACGUCACCGAGUCAGGUGCAAGACCAAUGUUCUUCAACCCGUAGAAGAUUUGUUUCGCUUCUUUAUCCUUUCCUGCUUUAGCUAAACUGUAGAGAGACGCGUUACACGCCACAAUGUUUGGAGCUAUUCCUUUACUCUUCAUCCUCUCAAAAGUCUCGAGAGCGCUGACUGAAUCUCCAGUCUUCCCAUAGUAAUCAAUAAAAACAAUGUAGGUGUAUGCAGUAGGGGUAACACUAAAAGACUCCAUAUUAUCAAAAACCUCAAGCGCAUCGUCUAACUUAUGAACUCUUAGUAAACCACAGAUCAACGUGUUGUAUGUGUGAAGAUUCGGUAACACACCUUGCUCCCUCAUCACAUUUAAAGUCUCAAACGCCUCACUAAACCUCCCACCUUUGCAAAGAGCGUCCACUAGAAUAGUGAACGUUACAACGUCAGGGACAUGCCCAUCAUUCUCCAUCUCACUCCAAAACCGCCUCACUGACUCCAAAUCUCUGCUAUCACUAAACCUAUCCAGCAAAGUGAUGUAAGUCACACGGUCCGGUUUGUGUCUUCCCGUUUUCAUCAUGGAGAAAACCUCCUUAGCGCAGUCCAGCUUCCCAGCGGUGCAAAGCGCGUCGAUGAGAACAGUGUAGGUAACCACAUCGGGUCCACACCCUUCCUCAUCCAUCCUCUUGAGUAUACCAUACGCUUCGUUGAUCUUCCCCGCUCUACCGAGGACACGGAUACAUAUCGUGAACGUGUAGACGUUAGGCUUUAGCCCCAACGUCUCCAUCUCUUUGAGUAGACUCAUCACAGAGUCAAUGUCUCUUCUUUUCCCUAACCCUACCAUGAGGGAUGAGUACGUCUGCAAGCUAGGCUUGAAACCGUUAAAGAUCAUGCUUCUAUAAACCUCCAUCGCCUCUACACAAAGCCUAGACUUGAGGAGAAGAUGAAUCAGGCCGUUGUAUGAAUAAGCAUUCAAAGGGAAACCAGAGUCUCUCAUCUUCGUUAGUGCAUAAGGCGCUUGCCGCAACCCACCUUUGAUAGAAAGAGACUUGAAGAUAGUCAAGAAAGUGGUGGCGUCUCUCUUUAUGAUUCGUUUCUGCAUCAUAUCGAACACGUAAGCCAUCUCCUGGAGUUUCCCAUCGACUCUUAAAGCUUCGAGGAUGUAGUUGCAAGUCUCUGUGGUGUGACUCUGAGCUACCUCUUUGAAAUAGGAAAACGCGGAGGCAGUAUCGGGAAGCGACUUUAGAAUCUUGGCGACUUCUUCUUCACCUGAGGAUUUGAACUUCUUCUUUUUGUUUAUCAUUGAAACCGAAAAGUCGGAGCCUUUCAUGGUGUUUCUCUGUUUCUUGCGGUGGAACAGAGACCCAACCUUCAAAGUGUGGAACUUUAAUCCGCCGUUAAGCAAACUGUUGCGUUUCUCUUUGAUGUUACUAACGAGGAAAGUGUCACUGACCGUUAUAUCGCCGCAGAGACUCGUGGAGCAGAGUAAAGCUGUCAUCUUUCUUUUUUUAAAAAAUUAAGAGCAAUAUCACAUUUCAAAGUGGAGAAGCUGUGACUAACAAAACACGAAGACGAAGAUAAGAUGAAUAGUCAUGGAGAUUUGGAUACGUCUCCGUUCACCAGACGGCAACAACACUACGGAGCUGGUGAUUACGGUGAACCGGGGAUUUUUUGAUUAAAAUCUUGUCGAAAGGAUAAAAUCUCAGUGGCUCGCUCCACUAGCUACCUCCCAAAAUAUCUUGAGGCCCAAUAGUGGCUCAUUUGUUGAAAACAUGUUACCUUCUUUAGGCCCAACAAUGAAUUUAGGUGAUGCAGUUAGGCGUAGAUCUUCAGGUAGUAUUGUCGGUUGUCGAAUCGUCUAUGUAAUAUUUCCUAUAUCAUAAUUGUAAGAUCAUAAUAAAUCAGCGUUAAAAAAAAAAAAAAAAAGCAUGUUGCUUUUUUGGUUUGCUUAAAUUUUUUACAUAUGUUUGAAUUCUUUGUAAUUUUUAAUUUAAAUAAGUGCAAAGGCAUUCCAAUUAUAUAAAGGGAUAAUAGUUUAAUUUAAUCUUGUGAAUUCUGAAUUAGUAACAACAAGACUAGGGAUAGAUAGCAAAGAUCUCUGCUUCAUAUUUGAAAAUUAAUAAAUAGAAUAGAAUUCAAGACUAAAACUUAAAAAAAAAAAACUGAAAAGAUCUCUGCUCUCUCAGAACAAGGCCCAGAGUCCAAGAACAAGGCCCAGAACACUGAAGACGCCGGUGAGCUUAGCAGCGCCACUAGUAGGAGCAACGGCGGGACCAUCAGAUGGAGAAGGAGCCGGUGAGAGAGAGCUACGAGGAGUGACUACCACAAGGCGUAGCUUCUGCCCCUUUUGACAGUGACCUUGUGUUCCACUUAUGAAGUAGACCGGACCGGGUUGUUCUAGCUUCACUUUGGUGUUCCCGUCGGUGUAGCUGGCUUUCGGGCUCGUGGUGUUGCAUUUCUCGUAAGCCUCUCUUGUCACUUGCAGCACCGAGUCUUUACCAGCUUCGUAGCUGAAAACUGAAAUUAACAUGUGACAAUGUUAGAAACAGAGUACAUCGAAGAUUACAAAAAAUAAGUACAUUAAUGAAAAUGGGCUUAUGGGUUUUGUAAGGAUUAGAGAUAGUGAUGAGAAGUUGAAUGUAUACCGAGAAAGUCUCCGACUUUGAAGCGAGCCUUUUGAGACCAGUCGUUGAAAGAGUCAGAAGAGGAAGGAGGGAUCUUCCAGUCACCGGAUUUUCCACCGACGGUUACCUCAUUGGCAUUUACGGACAAGAAGAACAUGCAGAGGAAGAUGGUGACUAGAAGAGAAGAAGAAGCCAUUGGUUCUCUACUGAGUUUAAGCACCACAAAAGUGUUAGUGUGUGAGAAUAUGUUUGAAUGAGUUGGAGAUGAACAGUCUGUGAGGAGCUUGUGUGGUUUUUAUAGAUCUAGUGAGAGACUUGAGAUGAGAACUAGCCGUUGAAGUUAAUGGAAAUUAAAGGAAAAGAUGAAAAAUGUUUGAUGUAGCCGUUGAUGAAGGUGGCGUAACGGCUAGGUAAGAGACAAGACCUGGAAUCUGAUCAUUACUGAUUACACAGUCUUCUAGGAAGACUGGUCAAGGCUACCUGUGUCUGUUUUUUACUUUCGUUUGAUUGCCAGUUUAGCUGGGCUUCUAUAGUGUUGGGUUGAAAAAGAUAAGAACAUAUCUCCACAAAGCCCACAAGACGCGGAAGACCCACAGAAACUUCCAUAUAAAAUGUAAAGAAGCAUACAUUUGCACGUGAAUCUAUGAUAUGUUUAAGGUGUGACACCUGCCUAAUACGUUUAUUACAGAAAAUAAACAGCAUCAGCUAGGUGUCCCUUACUGAGGACACAUUAUCAAACUCAACAACACUACGUGUCUUCGUGACUCUUACUAUCUCCAUAACCCAUUUACUAAAGCAACACCGUUUCUUCCUUUGGUUAGGAUAGUCCCAAGAAGAUAUUGAUCCAAAAAAAAAAAAGAUGGCUGGAGAAAAUGACUGGAGGAAAACGGCGGAUACAACGAAGAUGAGUCCGGAAGGAGUGAAAGCUGCGGGGGUUGAAUCAUCGAAGAGGCCACCAGGGAGUAAUCCUGGUGGUGUUCUCCACCAACGCCGUAACUUGCCAUACAGUUACACCACCAUGGUUAUCGCUGGAUUAGCUAUAUCCGGUGCAGUCAUGUACACUGUUAUGUAUGCUAAGAAAAAGCCUGAGGCUAGUGCCACUGAUGUAGCUAAAGUGGCCACAGGGACGGCUAAACCGGAAGAUACACAUCCAAGGAAAUAAAACCCUCAUUAGAAAAAUGGGUUUAUCUUCCUUUUGUUUGUUUUGUAUUUUUGUUUUUGCUUCUGCUUAAUUCUCAGAACUUUUUUGUUUUCUUGUUAUGUAGUAAUAACAAAACAAGUUUCAAUACAAAAAUAUCCUAUCAACUAAAGAUAUAACAAAUUAAAUGCGGGGAAUAGAACAGAGAUUGUGUAAUUUUUAUCAAGAAAAAAAAAACAGAGGUUGUGUAGCUAUAAUACUUCAGUGCUUAUUCAAGUUUACUGAGUGGAGGGAAACACUUUUUACGAUUUGUAGCUGUUUACAAGUAUCACGUUUCACAGUUUUGAGAUAGGUUCGCAGACUCACAUUAUGGACUUGAGUUGUGUGUUUAUAUUUUGGACCUUAUCCUAAAUGUGAUGAGAGUAUCAUCAUGCAUGGUUUUCAGGGAUUCAAUCCGGCUUUUUUUCUCUUUCAGUUUGAUUUUGAUUACGUUUACUGUAAUUUGGGCUCACAUUGAACUCUCUAAAAGAGAACAUACUUUGAAAUAUUUCAAAAAUUUAAGUUUAUUUGUAGUUUUAUUGGUUUUUAUUGUAAUGAUGAAGAAAGAAUGAAUCGGCUUAGUCUUAUCUUAUGUUUUUUUUUUUUUUUUAAAAGAGAGAGAAAGGAGAGAGAAAGGAGAGAGAAAGGAGAUCUGAGAUUUCUCUCCGGCGUACGGCCGGCGCGUGAGCGUCCGUGCCGUCGCCGGAAUCCUUAUUCUUGUUCAAAGAGGUUGCUUUUAACCUCUUCUUCGUCGCGCCUCACCGAUUUGCUUUGUCGGAGCUCUGGAUUGGAAUCAUCACUCAUCGGUGGUCUCCUCGCGUGGAGGGAAGACGCGGUCGCGUGGUGGCUAACGGCGUGAGAAGAGAGGCUUGCAUGUGUCAGUGGUUUGUUUCUCCGGGAGGUGGAGGCUUCUUCAGCUUCGCCGCCGCCGGUUCUAGUUCCCGGGAAGGGGAGGCUUUCUCUGCUCCGUCUUCGCCGGUUUUGGCUCCGGAGGGUAGGGGCUCACAUAGCCCUACGCUGUCGGUUUAGGUCCCUUAUCUUUUAGGGUUUUGGUUUUAUCCUGGUUUUAUUAUGAUUCGGUUGGUUGUGGGUCGUCGGAGGAGAGGAAAGUUCUCCGGCGGAAAGAGUGGCGAUGCAUGCGACGUCUCUUCUUGAGGGUCUGUGGUGAACGGUGUUGGAGGAGAUCUCGCCGCGGCGAUUGAUUACCUCCGGUUUUUAGAGACCCAAAGAUGGGAUGGUCGGAAGAAGAUUGUCGGAGCUUUUGAGUUCCGGGGUGGUCGGAAGAUGGGAUGUUUGGAUCUCCGACGAAAACGCGAAGCGGUGGUGACGUGGUGUCCUCGCAACACGUGUAUCCUCGACGGCGAGGAUGGCAACACGUGUCCAAGCAGCAGAGAUGCUGGGAUGCGAGGCGGCGAAGUCAAUCGCGUGAAGGGUUAGGGUUUUCUUCAAGUUGGGCCGGAAUGUGUGGCCCAGUUGAGAAGCGUGUUUGCCCCUUUGUUUCUAUUGGGCUUUUGUUUGUUUUUUUAUUUGUAUUGGGCUUGGCCCAUUUUUAAUAUUAAAAACCUUUCGACGGAAAAAAAAA
Molecule: long non-coding RNA, 17954 nt
Filed under: Brassica napus (rape)
Lineage: Eukaryota; Viridiplantae; Streptophyta; Magnoliopsida; Brassicales; Brassicaceae
Description: long non-coding RNA (BNAP_LNC000069)
Rfam family: mir-156 microRNA precursor family (bases 5602-5686)
Source: RNAcentral